ACGUUAAUCGGGGCAGGGUGAGUCGACCCCUAAGGCGAGGCCGAAAGGCGUAGUCGAUGGGAAACGGGUUAAUAUUCCCGUACUUGGUGUUACUGCGAAGGGGGGACGGAGAAGGCUAUGUUGGCCGGGCGACGGUUGUCCCGGUUUAAGCGUGUAGGUGUGUGUUCCAGGUAAAUCCGGUUCACUUUAACACUGAGGCGUGACGACGAGGCACUACGGUGCUGAAGCAACAAAUGCCCUGCUUCCAGGAAAAGCCUCUAAGCAUCAGGUAACAUCAAAUCGUACCCCAAACCGACACAGGUGGUCAGGUAGAGAAUACCAAGGCGCUUGAGAGAACUCGGGUGAAGGAACUAGGCAAAAUGGUGCCGUAACUUCGGGAGAAGGCACGCUGACACGUAGGUGAAGUGAUUUACUCAUGGAGCUGAAGUCAGUCGAAGAUACCAGCUGGCUGCAACUGUUUAUUAAAAACACAGCACUGUGCAAACACGAAAGUGGACGUAUACGGUGUGACGCCUGCCCGGUGCCGGAAGGUUAAUUGAUGGGGUCAGCGCAAGCGAAGCUCCUGAUCGAAGCCCCGGUAAACGGCGGCCGUAACUAUAACGGUCCUAAGGUAGCGAAAUUCCUUGUCGGGUAAGUUCCGACCUGCACGAAUGGCGUAAUGAUGGCCAGGCUGUCUCCACCCGAGACUCAGUGAAAUUGAACUCGCUGUGAAGAUGCAGUGUACCCGCGGCAAGACGGAAAGACCCCGUGAACCUUUACUAUAGCUUGACACUGAACAUUGAGCCUUGAUGUGUAGGAUAGGUGGGAGGCUUUGAAGUGUGGACGCCAGUCUGCAUGGAGCCGACCUUGAAAUACCACCCUUUAAUGUUUGAUGUUCUAACGUGGACCCGUAAUCCGGGUUGCGGACAGUGUCUGGUGGGUAGUUUGACUGGGGCGGUCUCCUCCUAAAGAGUAACGGAGGAGCACGAAGGUUGGCUAAUCCUGGUCGGACAUCAGGAGGUUAGUGCAAUGGCAUAAGCCAGCUUGACUGCGAGCGUGACGGCGCGAGCAGGUGCGAAAGCAGGUCAUAGUGAUCCGGUGGUUCUGAAUGGAAGGGCCAUCGCUCAACGGAUAAAAGGUACUCCGGGGAUAACAGGCUGAUACCGCCCAAGAGUUCAUAUCGACGGCGGUGUUUGGCACCUCGAUGUCGGCUCAUCACAUCCUGGGGCUGAAGUAGGUCCCAAGGGUAUGGCUGUUCGCCAUUUAAAGUGGUACGCGAGCUGGGUUUAGAACGUCGUGAGACAGUUCGGUCCCUAUCUGCCGUGGGCGCUGGAGAACUGAGGGGGGCUGCUCCUAGUACGAGAGGACCGGAGUGGACGCAUCACUGGUGUUCGGGUUGUCAUGCCAAUGGCACUGCCCGGUAGCUAAAUGCGGAAGAGAUAAGUGCUGAAAGCAUCUAAGCACGAAACUUGCCCCGAGAUGAGUUCUCCCUGAGACUU
RNAcentral lists this ribosomal RNA (1478 nucleotides) under Salmonella enterica subsp. enterica serovar Typhimurium. Its description in RNAcentral is "bacterial LSU rRNA". It matches the Rfam family "Bacterial large subunit ribosomal RNA", at positions 1362 to 2823 of the family's 2925-position model. The record is from RNAcentral. Lineage: Bacteria; Pseudomonadati; Pseudomonadota; Gammaproteobacteria; Enterobacterales; Enterobacteriaceae.